GAAAGUGUGAUAGUGAUAUUACCCAUUGACAGAUUCUCGAUCACGAGAUUAAAGUCGUUCGAAAUUAACGAGAGAUUGAUGGUUUGUGGGGCGCAAAUGAAACAAAGCAUCAUUAAGAACGGUAUCAGAACGAGCUUUAAGUGAUUCGAAAUAAGAAAAGUAAAGAUCUAAAGCAAAAUCGAAGAUGAUCGAUGAAUCGAUCAAACGAAAAGGAAUUCUUUUGUUACCAUUGUUAUUUCUUACAAAAAUAGACAAAAAGAAGCAAUCGAUCAUCCCUUCGUGUCAUUUCUCUUCGACCAGCCUGUCUUUCAUGGCCAGUAACACGGAAAGAUAUCCAGCUGAUGUUUUCAAUACCUGACGGAAUUGAACCUGAUUGAAAUUGAAGAUUUGAAAUUUUCAAAGAAUCCGUUUUUUCCACUCACAGCGUUGAAAAAUUCAAGGGAGAACGGGCUGAAUUUUCCAGCUGUUAUUUGAAACGACACGUUUGCACGGCGUAUCACGAUCAUUAAUAAAACUGCUCGUCUCGAUGGUAAAUCGUACCAAUUGCAAUGGUACGUUGACUGGCCAAUACCUGUGCUCUGAAAAACCAGUAUUCCAUUUUUCUUUCGGAGAAGAAAAUACUAAAAUAUUAGUUGGAUAAAACACAACUUCUCCGAGAAGAGUUUCUCCCACGUAGCAAUAGAUGAAAAGAUGAAGCAUGGUGUAGAUCACGUGUAUGAUGAAAAAUAUGAUUCCAACUAUCGGCACAUCCGCCUCCUCCCGGUCCACGGACUGGAGGGGAAAAAUUUUGUAAUUUGUAAGAAAAAUUCGAAAUCGAAAUCGUUAAAAAAUUAACAAUAUCGAGUCGUGCGUACGGUUAUCAUGCGAUAUCCGGUCAAGCAGAACAUCGCCGUGCAGAUUAACGUUUGUACGAGCAACGUGAUGUUGAAACAAUCCUCCACUAUCACGGCAAACCUUCGAAACGAAUCAUUUUCUUCAAACAACUUCGAUCAUCCUCAUAACCAAUCUUUCUUAAUUGUGAAUUGUCUCCAAGGAGACAAUUGAUCUCGAAUCUCCUUUUUUAUUAUUAUUAUUAAAAGAAUCAGAAAAUCGAAAGUUAUGGAAUCUCGAUCUUUGCACGAUUUUUUAAUCUUAUCACCCAUCCGUCAUCGUUUCGCACAAUUAUCGAGCUCCCACUUACCGACAAUAUUGAACAAUAUUAGCAAACCUGGACAAAUGGUUGUGCCUGUUCACGAUGGAUCCGAGACGUUCCUCGAACGUUUUGUAAUCGUUCCUGCUCGUGGCGUUGACCAGGUCCUCGAGAGCGGUUCCAAGAACGGUUAAUUGGCCGCACAAGUGUAACACGAGAACCGCAAGGAACGUGUCGAAGCAAGAAUAGCAUAUCGCGGUUAGAACCGUGCCCGUCAAUUGGCCCAGCCAGGUGAUCUCGUAAUUGGGGCUUUUGCUCGUCUCGUAAGGGAACGUGGCGGGGUGAAGCAACCCCCCAAGAUCCGCUUCAGACGCGUUCUCCGCGUUGCUCCAAAUUUGAAGGGAGACGAAGGCGAAAAGCAUGAAAUACGUGAGGGUGGAGCAGACGAUCGAUAUAGUUCGACUGAUCCUCGCGUUUCUCAGCAUCGUUUCGCGAUCUUGCUCGUCGAUCGGCUCGCUCCAAUCGGCCAGCAUUUCGCCGAGCAGUUGGGUAAGAGCUAAACGAAAGUUUGCUUCGAUGUAUCCAAGAUAUUUCUGGUUAAACGUUGCGAAAUGCUUUGUUAAAAUUGUUCGAUUGCGCAACGGCUGAUUAAAGUUAAUUUAUAAAUGAUUUUUGUAAUAUUUGUAAUUUUAGAGAAUUAAUUAAAAAGUUAAAUAAAAUAGAAAAUCAAA
Molecule: long non-coding RNA, 1860 nt
Organism: Apis cerana (Asiatic honeybee)
Lineage: Eukaryota; Metazoa; Arthropoda; Insecta; Hymenoptera; Apidae
Source: RefSeq, a predicted model, not a curated record